This 133-nucleotide unclassified non-coding RNA is filed under the name uncultured Basidiomycota. RNAcentral's name for it is "sequence contains ITS1". The record is from RNAcentral. Lineage: Eukaryota; Fungi; Basidiomycota.
GUGAAUCAAACGGGUUCGACUCUGCAAAGAGAAGGCCCGAUCCACUAUCUUCACACACUUGUGCACCUGUCAUUUUUUUGACAACACACUUUUGAAGUCUAAACCGUCCUUGAAUGAAAUUGAUAACGAAAGA